Zea mays is the source of this 1056-nucleotide long non-coding RNA. RefSeq lists it as uncharacterized. The record is from RefSeq and is a predicted model, not a curated record. The transcript is spliced from 5 exons. NCBI's taxonomy places the organism in Eukaryota, Viridiplantae, Streptophyta, Magnoliopsida, Poales, Poaceae.
UUUAACCUUUCUUAUUUUGGGAUGCAUUUAUGGAAUAUUUUAAUUCACCUUAUUGUAUUGCCUUCUUAAAAUUUUUCUACACAUGUUUCAGAUGAUACGAACAAUUAUCUUUUAUACAUCUUAAAUGUGUAUAGCACCCAAGGGCUAUUUACAUUUGCAUUUGUUAGUUGCAAGAAUUAUGUUAUAUCCUGCUCUGCCAUCCGCCCCUCUCAUUCUCUCUCCCAAGCGAUAAGGCUCAUCUCAUUCUCUCUUCCCAGGCGAUAAGGCUCAAGCGGGUCAACAAAAAAAAAGGAAGGAAAGACCAAACGAUAAGGCUGGUGGCUUAUCUAGAAAGGUCCCUAGCGCCCUGCGACGACGCUUGGAUCACAGCGUUGUUGGACGACUGCGCAUCUACCUUCGCAGUUAUCUGGAAUUUGGAGUUACAGUCCACGUUCGCACGAAUUGGAACUUUCAACUGCCAAAACAUACAAUUAUCUGGAUUUUGGAGUUACAGUCCACGUUCGCACAAAUUGGAACUUUCAACUGCCAAAACAUACAAAUACAUUCACAGUGGCGAGUGAAGGGCGAGCAUCCUUACCAUCACAGCAGAAUAGCCCAAACCCGGGCAGAUUUCAACGGUCCGGCAGGGGACGGAGGCAGAGACAGUUGCUGCUCCUGCGCCAGAGAGGGGAGGAAAGGCUUCACGCCUCCAAGGUAGCAACAAGGCAUGAGGGGGUAGGAAAGGCUUCACGCCUCCAAGAUUUCAGUCAAUUCCUUGCCAGAACUAUUAAAUAAAGGUGUUAAUGUGCAUGAUGAAUGCUCACAGUCGAUUCCUUGCUAGAACUAUUAAAUAAAGGUGUUAAUGUGCAUGAUGAAUAUUCAGUCAAUUCCUUUACAGAACUGUUAAAAAAAAUAGCCACAAGAGGAUAUGAGCAGGGUAGGAGUGAACUUAACUUCGUGAUGUAGGUGGAGGUGGUCUGCGUACAAGAAAAUCCGAAAAACAGAAGCUUGUUGUUACCAAGAACAAUUCAGAUAGUUGUUUCUAUAAAUAAUUUCACCUGUACAGCUUCAAUUCAA